This 254-nucleotide ribosomal RNA is filed under the name uncultured bacterium. RNAcentral's name for it is "partial 16S ribosomal RNA". It matches the Rfam family "Bacterial small subunit ribosomal RNA", at positions 524 to 776 of the family's 1533-position model. The record is from RNAcentral.
UACGUAGGCAGCGUGCGUUGUUCGGAGUUACUGGGCGUAAAGGGUGUGUAGGCGGUUGUUUAAGUUUGGUGUGAAAUCUCCCGGCUCAACUGGGAGGGUGCGCCGAAUACUGAAUGACUAGAGUGCGGGAGAGGAAAGUGGAAUUCCUGGUGUAGCGGUGAAAUGCGUAGAUAUCAGGAGGAACACCAAUGGCGAAGGCAGCACUCUGGGACGUGACUGACGCUGAGACGCGAAAAGCGUGGGGAGCAAACAGG